CUGAGUUGCAAAACUCUCAACCCUUCUGUGAACCUACCUCUGUUGGCAUGUCCCAAGUUGUUUCGGCGGGUGCCUCCUGCAGGUGCCCGCCGGCGGCCUGGGAUAUUUAUUAUAUUCUAUGUUUUUUAGUGGUUAUACUCUGAGUAUCAUACAAAAUAAGUCA
This 163-nucleotide unclassified non-coding RNA is filed under the name uncultured Sordariomycetes. RNAcentral describes it as "sequence contains ITS1". Lineage: Eukaryota; Fungi; Ascomycota; Sordariomycetes. The record is from RNAcentral.